CGAACGCUGGCGGCAUGCCUAACACAUGCAAGUCGCGCGGUCAGCAAUGGCAGCGGCGGACGGGUGCGUAACGCGUAGGAACGUGUCCUGAGGUGGGGGACAACCCUGGGAAACUGGGGCUAAUACCGCAUAUGGGCUGAGGCCCAAAGCCGAAAGGCGCCUUAGGAGCGGCCUGCGUCCGAUUAGCUAGUUGGUGGGGUAAAGGCCUACCAAGGCUCCGAUCGGUAGCUGGUCUGAGAGGACGAUCAGCCACACUGGGACUGAGACACGGCCCAGACUCCUACGGGAGGCAGCAGUGGGGAAUAUUGGACAAUGGGCGCAAGCCUGAUCCAGCAAUGCCGCGUGGGUGAAGAAGGUCUUCGGAUCGUAAAGCCCCUUCGACAGGGACGAUGAUGACGGUACCUGUAGAAGAAGCCCCGGCUAACUUCGUGCUAGCAG
RNAcentral lists this ribosomal RNA (438 nucleotides) under uncultured bacterium. RNAcentral describes it as "bacterial SSU rRNA". It matches the Rfam family "Bacterial small subunit ribosomal RNA", at positions 30 to 514 of the family's 1533-position model. The record is from RNAcentral.